CGCGCCUUUAUUAAUGGCUAGCGCAUAACUAAUUUACCGUAAUAAACAGAAAAAUACAAUUAGACCAAUCCUACUCAGCCAUGAAUUGGCCAUCGACUUGAUAUAUCUCCUUCUACUCAAAUGGUUGACGAACGCCGGUCGCCAACAACGUAGAAUAGAAAAAGGAGUGAACUGGCAACUCUGAUCUUGCAGCGAGGUGUUGAGGAGGAGCGCUCAGAGCCCACCCAGAUGAAGACACUCGAGUUCAGCCGAUACCUUGUUCCCGAGAGAACGCGAAUAUAAAGUUCUUGUUGACAUCUUAGCCUGUGCGGAAUUUGAAACUGUCAUUAAAACCCCCUUUUCCUAGAGUGCUCGGAAACGUUCCGUCGCAGUGACAGGCGAGCACCUAACAUCCCCUUCUUCAAAGGGCGCGGGCACCGCAAGGGCGCGUCGAUGGGACAUCGUACGUCGGAGAGGCUCGGACUCGACGACGAUGGACGAAAACCAACACCAGUACGGUGGCCCACCAAGCCCGAGAUCACAAAUGAAUUUGCUAAUGACCAAGAGAUAGAAAACGGACUAGAAUUCGAAGUGGUCGAGUUAAUGGCUUCCUACAUUCUGAGUGGUUCUGGGACCUCAGACGAUCCGCUUGAUUUGAACGACCUUUUGUCUGGGGAUCCAGAAAUUGAUAGUCUUAUAACCAGCAUUCAACAUGCUGCCAAUGGUACAGGGCCCAUGCAAAACAACACUCCAUUAGACCACACUGUUGCAACACCAUCGAGGACCAAUGGAACCAGGAGAACCUCAGACUAAUGCUAUGUCUGCGCAGCAAGUACCUGGCAUUGACAACUCUGAGGUCCAAUCAACAUCAGACGAAAACAGUGGUGCGGAGGAGAGAGAUGCAAGUGGACCCAUAUCAUCAGUUGAUGGAAAUGAUGGACCAUCAGCAUCUUCAACCACGUCCCUAAAGCGAAAGAGGGAAGAAGAAGAUUCUGACCAUCAGGUGGAAGGUAUGUCUGCUACAGCAGGCACCACAGGUGAGACAUCAUUUGACAAUUGUCCCUCCCCACCUUACAGGGAAUAUCAUGGCGAUGGAAACACUAAUCAAGGCGAAAGUCAAGGAUUGAUUCAAGGACACCGCCUUGAUCAAGAUACAAACAACCAAGUACCCAAGAGGCCCGCAGAGAGGGAUCUCCUAAACCAAAUUUCCAUCCAAAAAAAUCAAAUUAGGUGACUUCGGUCACAAAAUAAGGCGUAGGGAAUUGGCGACCCCACCGCCCACUACUUGAGAGGUAGUGCAGUCAGCUAGGUGUUCCCUUCCACCUUGAAUUGGGCCACUCUGGAUUGCAUGGACAGCGAUGCCAAGGGUAGCAAUGCUUCAGCUCAUAUACUGUACAAUCAUGGCAUUACAUUUACUGCAGCCAUGUAACUCCUGGCAUCUUUGUCCCUGCUCCUCUGGAUACACAGAGAUGCUCCGCUAAUUGAAAGCGACCAGUCAGCCUAGCGUUUCCAAGUAUCCAGAGGAACCUUAGGUCUUAAAAAAAAAAAGGGAGAACUUGUUGUGCGAGAGGACGUCAUUCCGCUUCACAACACUCAAAAAAAAAUAAACUGACAAACUUCCUUCCCUAUGUUCAAAUGCAUUCAGAAUAUGUGAUUCUUACGAUCCUUACUGCUGUAAGUUUCUCACCGAAAUUUACACAAAUAGCAAGUACAUUACUGUACAUACAUUAUAAGGGUCAUUCAGAUUUAUAAACUUAUAUUUUAAAUAUAUGUCGACAUUCAUAACAUUUCCCACCCAAAUGUCACUUUACAAACUAAAAGUUGGUAUGUUGAGGCAGCUUGGCUGUCAAAUGCCAAUUUUGAUUUCAGCAACAAUCACGACCAAACCAAGGAUGAAAUUACCAAUUCAUAAUUAGACAAAUAAACAUAAGACUUUUUUUCAUCACUGGCUGAAAUAAAAUAGCAAACUAUCUUAGCACCCAUGCCCAAGGAACAAUGACAACCUAUUCUGCAAAGUUUAUUCUUUGUGAAAUGUGUGUAAUAAUAAUACUGCUAUUUCUGAUGCUACAAACAACCCUGGGGCAAAGUUGCUAUUCUCAGCUAUGCUUAAAUACCACAUCAGUGAGGGUAAGCGUUGAAAGCAACUUGACCACCCCCCCUCUGCAUUCUUCAUAAAUAAUUCACUAUUUCCCCUUUAGCAAACCUGAGUUAACUUUGAUAAACCAUAAUGAUCCAUGGUACUCUAUUAAGUACACUUACAGUGAAGUCAUUCUGAUUGAUUUAGGCGGUAAUAGAUACAGGUUUGUUAAGAAUGGUCUGAAAUAGCAUCUGACAAAAAACCAAAAUAUAAGAGUAACACUACAAAUGAAUGACAAACUACGAAAUGUCAACUUUCAAACAGCAAAACAAGAUAAAAUGCUGUACUUUGUCUCUUUGUAACUGCCCAACACACAUAACACAAGUAACAGACUAUGCAGCUUAGGAUUUGUUAUUCCUUGGGCUUGAGGCUUUGGGGAUUGCUACACUAUCUAGUUUUAAGGCUCACUCAAGGAUCACUCGAAUAUCAUAUUACAUACACUAGGCACAGUGUGUUCACACUGGUUCAGUUUUCAAAAGUUGGAUUAUCAUGCUGCCACUAUUCUCUGGUUUGAGAAACUGCUCUACCUCUGGAACUGAAGUUCCAAUUAGAGAUUGCAUGUUUACUUUCACUUUGUGAUCUUAUUAGCGUCAAGGAGUACUGCCCAGCAAGGGGGCAUCAUCAUUAUUUUUUGGUGGGCCAUUUUCAACAGAACCUUGUGAGACUUCAUCCACGCAUUUAGGUUCAAAGAAGUCAUUCACUCCUCCAUUUGAGCUGUGACACCUUUUGAUGACGAAGUUCCAUCUAUCUAUUAAAAAAAAAAAAAAAAACGAGUGAAUCUGAACAUCGAAGAGUGAGCCUUAACACAUGUUCUGAAUGCAUUUGAACCUAGUGAAGGACCCUUCCGUAGGAUUGUACCGUGACGUGGUGGAAGGGCUUGCGUGCCUUGUAAAACUCAGUGGCUUUACACCACCGGUGCCUUAACUAGCGACUCCAGUUGAAGAGAAAGACCGGAAGACCUUUGAGUGCUUUGAAAAAUGUUUACUUUGUGUCAAAGGACACUGAUGGCGUUACCAGUUAGACCUCUUUUCUGGCAACACUGAAAUACAGUGAAGCAGUGAUUAACCUAAUUAAUCUUACCCGGUCGCCUCAUGAGUUAAGAUUCUUCGAAAGCACCAUUGGGGACACCUAAGGUGGCGAGGUCCUUUGUUCAUAGGUCAGACUAAAACAAUCCUCAUCUUACCUGGAAAAGGGAAGAAAAAUAUUCCAUGUUCAUUUCUUUAAAGGUUAGGAAAACAAUCCAAUAUUGUAUUUUAUUUUAUAUAUAAUGUAAGAAGUAGAUAGAUAUAUUUUUUUGCACUUCGUCUGAAAUCAAAGGAAAAAACAAACGUUAUAUAGUUGUCUCUCUCGUGCCAAUACAUUAUAUUCUGUUAGUUGUAAGGACAAGACAACGAAAGUAUAAAUUCAGAUAUAUAUUCAAUAUAACUUAGAAGUUAAACAACAUUUUCCAAACUGGUCACGAGACGAGAAAACUGCAUGAAAGGGUUUGUAAUGGGUAUUUGAAAAAUCGACUUGUGUACGAUUUAAUUUGAGAAAUCUGUUCAGUGUGCUGAAUUCUAGUUGUAAGCAUUGAUCGUGGCUACCUCAUAAUCAAACAAACGUACUAUAUUAUUACGCUACUUGGCAACUAUCUGUGAUAUUAGGCUGUGGUAUCCUUCCGCAAGACAGUGAUAUUAUGCUGUGGUAUCCCUCCACAUCAGACCGCGUCUGUGAUAUCACUGUGAUCUCAGCUUCGCGUGCUCCAAGAUUAAGUAAAACACUUAUUCUAGGAUUCGUUUUAGUAUCAUCCACUUGUAUGGCUGUUUGCAUACGGCCUAGUGUAAUAGAAUGUGAUGUAUGUAAUAUAUUGUAAUUUAAUGCUAUGUUUUCCACUGUUAGUACUUCAUGUAGACAGUGCUUAGGCGCAAAAGCCAUUUUCUGUGAUAACAAGUGUUCCGUAAUUUGUAAUUACUAGUCCUUCAAAUGAUUGAUUACAAAGCUUUCGUUACUGUAAACGAAUUUGAACCUUUCAAAAUGAAAUGUAUUUAUUAUUGGGAUUAUGUAGAAAGUGUAAGUACAGUUAUACAUUAUUAUUUUUUUUACUCUAGCAGGAAAAAAUAUAUUAAUUUUCAUCAAAGGUGCUAAAUAUCAGUCUGUAUAUAUAUAUGCCAGCAAAUAGAUGUACAAAACGCAACUUGUGUACAAAAAGAUAUCACAGAAUAUGUUGUUAUUUUCAUUCACCAAUACAUGCUAAGAUUAUUAUUAUUUAUUUAUUUUUAUUACAGGUCGACUUUAUAUAUGCUGUAUAUUUUAUACAAGAUUAGCUUUUUUUGGUGCAAUAAACAAUUGAGAUUGACUGUCAAUGUGUCUAGCUAUAAAAGAAAAACGAAGCCA
This is a long non-coding RNA of Macrobrachium nipponense, 4489 nucleotides long. RefSeq lists it as uncharacterized. The record is from RefSeq and is a predicted model, not a curated record. NCBI's taxonomy places the organism in Eukaryota, Metazoa, Arthropoda, Malacostraca, Decapoda, Palaemonidae. The transcript has 2 exons.